UACAGAGGUCUCAAGCGUUGUUCGGAUUCAUUGGGCGUACCGGGCGCGUAGGCUGCGGGGCAAGUCGGGUGUGAAAUCUCAGAGCUCAACUCUGAAACUGCACUCGAUACUGCUUUGCUUGAGGACUGGAGAGGAGAUUGGAAUUCACGGUGUAGCAGUGAAAUGCGUAGAUAUCGUGAGGAAGACCAGUGGCGAAGGCGGAUCUCUGGACAGUUCCUGACGCUGAGGCGCGAAGGCCAGGGGAGCAAACGGG
Molecule: ribosomal RNA, 253 nt
Filed under: uncultured bacterium
Lineage: Bacteria
Description: partial 16S ribosomal RNA
Rfam family: Bacterial small subunit ribosomal RNA
Source: RNAcentral